UUCCAAAAUUCUUUCCUUUCCAUACCCUGCUAUGUGAAUGUUGAUUAAAUGUCUUAGACAUAUACUGGGAGCACCAUUAAUAACCACAUGUGCAGUGAGGUUACUAAUCUGUACUCUAGGUCAUUUGGCCUGUCUUUCAGCAAAGUGAUUCCAGUCUUGACCCUCCCUAAUAUUUGGAAACUAUGUACAAGGAGGUGACAUUUUCCAGGAUAGGAUGCUUUUAGCUUCCUCAUCACCCAUCUUAAUUUUUUCCUUUAUUGAAUAAACCAAAGCCAUAUAAGCUUCUCUUCUAUCUAGUACACUGGAACACUCUGUUCUGUUUUGCUCUUUACAGGUCAAAAUCUGUCACUCGACUUUACUACUCAUUAUAGUAAUUGCUCCCACCUGAAUUCUGAUGCCUAAAUGCUGCCAGCUGAUAUCCAUCAUGUCAGGAUCCUUACCACUUUGAUGGAUUCUGUUGUGAAUCAGGACUUUGCAUCAUGAGCCUGGCCUACCUGGAGAAGCAACUGUGGCCUUCAUGGUGGUUGGCUUACAGGACAUAUCUGAGUCGUUCACCAUUGGCUGUGGUUGAGGACUCAGUGGCUGUACACUCCAAUAGUCUGGAUGCCUCCAUGAUGUCAUUAUGGUGCUGAAGGUCUGGAGGAUAUCAGGAGAAUCACUGGCUUCAGUCCCCUUUGCAAUACCUUGCCAACUACAACAAAGGAGAGGACACUGUCACUGUCUUCCGACACACCAGAAGAGGACAUCCGAUCCCAUUACAGAUGGUUGUGAGCCACCAUGUGGUUGCUGGGAAUUGAACUCAGAACCUCUGGAAGAGCAGUUAGUGCUCUUAACCGCUGAGCCAUCUCUCCAGCCCCUAUUUACAGGUUUUAUAAUAUACCAAAUACUGCAUCAAUUGUUUCAAGCCUGUGAGCAUAGUUGAAGAAGACCCAUGUCACUAAGGUGAAGAAAAAAAUGGGAGGAAAAUUAUGAGCUAGUUUUGGUCACAUCUGGAAGUGAAAUAUGAACACCUGAAAUUUAAUUUUCAAAUGAUGAGAAGACAGCAGUUUGGUAAGUUAGAGUUCUGACGGGUAUCCCUCAUACCUGGUAUUAUUAAUCAAAUCAACCAAUGUACAGUUUUGUGUCCCAGAUAUUAUAGUAUACCACUAGAAAAUAUAAAUUAAGAUAUAAAACACUAAGAGCUCCUUUUCAUAAGAGGCUUCUUGUAAAGAAAGCAUGGGAUCUUUGAAAGGAUCCAAAAAUUGUGUUUUCUCGACUCAGUUCCUUUUUAGGUUCCUCAAAUGAAAAGACAACAUAAAAAAGAUCAAGAAGUUUCUAAAGUAGCAAAAUAAUAGGUCCCAUGUGUCCAAUAUAAGAUCAGUAGAGAUAUUCAUGCGUAAAUGAGAUAAUUUAUGUCAUCAUUGUUAUUUGUAAUUUUUAUUUGUAUUUUUUUUGGUUAUUUUAUUUAUUUAUAUGUCAAAUGCUAUUUCCCUUCCAGGUUUCCCCUUCCUGGUUUCCCCUCCACAGCCCUCCUAUCCCAUUCUCCAUCCCCCAUCCUCCUUGCUUCUCUGAGGGUACUCCCCCCAGUGAUAUAACAUAUGGACAUGGGUUGAAUAUGUGUACAUAUGCAUAUGCAUAUGUAUAUGUAUGUAUAUGUUUGCAUAGUAAAUAACAUUAUAUUAACAUAUUGACAUCUGCCAGUGCCUCUGCAUUUUGAACAAUAUUCUUGAAGUUGAUUCUAUGUUUUGGUGACUUCAACGUGCACAGUUCAACUCAAAAUCAGGGAGUGGGAAUGUGGUAGUUUAGAGGUACCUGCUUCUUAAUAGCAUUUUUGGUUUGCUUGAAUGAGCAUGGGCCAGAAAUGCAUGUAUUUGAAUACCUAGUCCUCAUUGGUAGAACUAUUUGGGAAGGGUUAGGAGGGUUCCUCAUUGGAGGAAGUGUAUAACUGGCAACAGGACUAGAGGUUUUAAAUGACUUCCACACCAUUCCAAGCUAACUUUAUCUGAGUUGUGUUCUGGUUGUGUCUCAAAAUGUGAGCUCUCCCCUCCUGGUCUAGCACAAUACCUGCUGUGGGCUGUGAUGUUCCCUGCCAUGAUAGUCAGAGACACUUAACCCUCUAACCCUCUGAAACGAUAAGCAAGCCCCAAGUAAACUCUUCCUUGGAUAAGUAGCCUUGGUCAUAAUGUCUUCUAAAAAAAAUUUAAAAACUAGGUAAGACAAUAUUGGCGUUUGACUUUGUUUUUCUUUUUUGCCAUUUGCUAGUGUACACACAAAAAAUGUGUUUACUACUUUCCUCUGGUGUUGUUAGUACCCUGGUUGUUCCUGUUUUACUUGCUUUUAAAUGUAUUUUUCUUUCUUAUUCACUCAUAUUUGUUGUUUGAAUUCCCCUUUACAGUGUGACAGAGGGGGUGGAAUCCAGCACUUACAGUUAGUUACGUGGAUGCUUUAACACUGAGCUAAUUUAUUAUCCAGCUUAGAUAAGAAAAAAACAGCACCUUACUCCACCCAUAAACCCGUGAUCCUCAGGACCUUAUUUCCUUUAACUAAAAGCAUAGAGGAAGUAGCAUUCCCCCAACUGACAACUCAGCUCCAAAUAGGCAUGGGUGAGCAUGUAGGGAACUUAAGAUGCAGCCUUGCACUGAGAGGCCAAACCUACUCCAUCUUGGGACUGGCCUUCAUUCUAAGAGGGAAAAAAAAGGGCUUAGAACUUGACCCACCGCUGGACCCAAGCUACAGCCAAGUACCAGGAAGUCCCUAGUUACUCUCUAGCAAUAGUUAAUCAAAGAUGAGUCUGAUUGCUUCAGAUGUAUUUCCUGGUCAUCUGUGAUUGUACACAGUCUUGCUUCAGAGCACUCACCUGUUGGCUUUCAACAGUUAUUUUAUUAGAUACUUGCCAGGAUGGACACCCCCUCACUUACUCCCAUUCCCUAUAAAACCUUGUCCUACUGAGAGUUCAAGUUUGCUCGGCUUUCCUGUCAUCCUGCUGUGUCAGGGUUGGGUUGGAGAAGAGCACAAGCCUGAGUUUAUGAUACAGAGACCCUAAUGUCUUUACAUCAGAAACUGCUCCAUGGUGUUCUUUUGAGGUUCAUAAACACCUCCUGGCGCAACAGUACAACAAUCCUUUCUACAGACUGCACAGCUAAAACUUACCGCCCUGUUCUUUUACCUUCUAGAAAUGUAAAAUUAUUAAUAACCACAAACCUCACAACAAACAUUUUAUACAUCUUUUAGUCAUCUUGACCAACUAUAACAAAUGCUGUAGACUGAGUGGUUUAAGGAACAAGUACUCAUUACUUACAUUUCUGAAAAUGUGGUCUCUAAGGUAAGGACAUUAGCCAAUUUGUGAUUUGGUAAUCUAUAAGAACACCAGUUGUUUGGGGUUCUAAUGAUCUAUAAGGAAUGGACACCAACUGCUUGGGGGUCACAUGAUCAUCCAUUUAUAUGGUAAGAACAACUGUGGUUUGGGAUUCAUAUUAGAAUCCUUUCCUAGUUUGAAAAUCUUCAUGUUAUAUACUUACAUGGCUGAAAAAAUGCUAUUUUUCUCAUUUCUCUUUUCAUGAGUACACAGCUAUUAUUUGUGUGCAAUGUCCCUUCAUGAUCUAAUUGCCUUCUGAUCUCCCUCACCCCCUGCCCCCCCAAAAAAUUCACAUUAGCCCAGGGUUUCAGCUUACUAACUUUAGAAGAAGAUGAACAGUCAAUCUGUAUCAAUAAGGAAGGAAGGGGGAAAGCAACAAUAGAGGUAUCCAUUUAUUUUGCAUGCUGAUUUUAUGUGUAUAUAUAUUUUAAGUCCUAUGAUGUUAACUUUUGAAUGCAAAAUUUUGGACAUUAUGUAAGUACCUAAAUUUCAGAAUGGAAAAAAAUUAAGUUAUAGCUAAGGGGAGAGUAAAUAUGAAAAUAUGAGACUUAAAUAAUCAAAACAAAAGUAGAGAAAGAAAUGGAAAGUGGUUGAAAUAUGAGAAAUAAGAAUCAAAUGUUUAUAGAUGAGCAACAUGAUACAAUGUUUGAAUCCUGACUAUUUCUUACUAGGAAACAGAAUAGUUAUCCACAGAAACACAUCCACAGUGCCCUUCUUGAUUGAUAUGUACAGAUAUCACAAACAGACCUUAUGCACAUCUCUUCUAAACAAUCUCUGGUUAUUUUGAUGAACAUUCCUUCCAUGCUCCUCUGGGCUAUGAGUCCAUUCUCUGGUUGUUUGUCUAUCAUUACUCCUAAUGAUAUUUUAAAUGUCUUUUUCCACCUCAAGGGAAUGAGAAUGGCUUGGAAAUGAAUGUUCCAUAACUAUUAAUGAGCUUUUUCCUACUUUGCACUGAAACAAUGUUAUCUGGGAUAGUAGACCAACUCUCUCUAAGUAAUCUUGCCCUUAGAUUAUAGCCAUUUAUGCUGUUUUUCCUACCAAGAUGAAUAUAGCAUUUAAGUGCAUUAGGGCUAAUGAUGUGAAAGAGCAAAAAAUAAUUACCAUUAUCAGCCACAAUGCCUAUUUUCAUACAAGCACCAUAAUUAGAUGUGCACCCAACAUUACUUAAAAAUUCUUCAUCAACUACUUCUACUGAGUUAUAUAGAAAAUAAAAAUAAAGCUUCAAUUCAGCUUAUUGCAUGAGCUACUGGAAACUUAGCGGCUCAGUCAGAAAGAUGCUCAGAGUACCUAAAUAGUACCUAUUACAUUUUCCUGAUGUUUCUAAUUGGAGGAGAGGAGUGAUACUGGGGGAGUGGGCAGGUAAGACUGAAGAAACCUAUUGCUCUUAGUGAAAUAAAGCUUCAUUCUGUACAGGUACUCUGCUUGUUAUGAGCACAGCAAGGCUUUGCUUGUGAAACGGAAUUAACACACUGUGAGGUUACAUACCUUAAAGAUAUAUGAGGGGAAGUAAUAUUUCUUUUUUUUUUAUUACCUUGAGUAUUUCUUAUAUACAUUUCGAGUGUUAUUCCCUUUCCCGGUUUCCGGGCAAACAUCCCCCUCUCCCCUCCCCUUCCUUAUGGGUGUUCCCCUC
Rattus norvegicus (Norway rat) is the source of this 4964-nucleotide non-coding RNA. The record is from RefSeq and is a predicted model, not a curated record. NCBI's taxonomy places the organism in Eukaryota, Metazoa, Chordata, Mammalia, Rodentia, Muridae.